RNAcentral lists this non-coding RNA (29 nucleotides) under Homo sapiens (human). The record is from RNAcentral. Lineage: Eukaryota; Metazoa; Chordata; Mammalia; Primates; Hominidae.
UGGGAGAAUCAGGAUGUGUGUCUAAUGGC